Molecule: ribosomal RNA, 301 nt
Filed under: uncultured bacterium
Lineage: Bacteria
Description: partial 16S ribosomal RNA
Rfam family: Bacterial small subunit ribosomal RNA
Source: RNAcentral
CAGCCGCCGCGGUAAUACGGAGGGUGCAAGCGUUAAUCGGAAUUACUGGGCGUAAAGCGCACGCAGGCGGUCUGUCAAGUCAGAUGUGAAAUCCCCGGGCUUAACCUGGGAACUGCAUUUGAAACUGGCAGGCUAGAGUCUUGUAGAGGGGGGUAGAAUUCCAGGUGUAGCGGUGAAAUGCGUAGAGAUCUGGAGGAAUACCGGUGGCGAAGGCGGCCCCCUGGACAAAGACUGACGCUCAGGUGCGAAAGCAUGGGGAGCAAACAGGAUUAGAUACCCCUGUAGUCCCUGUCUCUUAUAC